AAGUCGUAACAAGGUUUCCGUAGGUGAACCUGCGGAAGGAUCAUUAUCGUAUCUGCGGCGGUCCCCCGUCCCGCCCCGCUCCGGCUCCAAAGGCCGUGCAGCGGGCGGAACGGUCCCGUCCAACCUUCACAAACCCACCGUGAACCUUUGCGGCGGAGGGCCCAGGGGCGAGAGCCCCGACGGUCCGAUGCCGCCCCAAAACAACAAACACCAGUUUGAAACGAAUGAACGCGGCCUCCGAGUCGCCUAACAAACGAAACAACUUUCAACAACGGAUCUCUUGGCUCUC
Molecule: unclassified non-coding RNA, 289 nt
Filed under: air metagenome
Description: partial contains small subunit ribosomal RNA, internal transcribed spacer 1, and 5.8S ribosomal RNA
Rfam family: Eukaryotic small subunit ribosomal RNA (bases 1-46)
Source: RNAcentral